This 238-nucleotide ribosomal RNA is filed under the name uncultured bacterium. RNAcentral's name for it is "partial 16S ribosomal RNA". It matches the Rfam family "Bacterial small subunit ribosomal RNA", at positions 100 to 334 of the family's 1533-position model. The record is from RNAcentral.
CGGAACGGGUGAGUAACGCGUGAGGAACCUGCCUCAAAGAGGGGGGCAACAGUUGGAAACGACUGCUAAUACCGCAUAAGCCCACGGCUCGGCAUCGAGCAGAGGGAAAAGGAGCAAUCCGCUUUGAGAUGGCCUCGCGUCCGAUUAGCUAGUUGGUGAGGUAACGGCCCACCAAGGCGACGAUCGGUAGCCGGACUGAGAGGUUGAACGGCCACAUUGGGACUGAGACACGGCCCAG